This 75-nucleotide transfer RNA is filed under the name Candidatus Methanoperedens sp. Its description in RNAcentral is "tRNA-Arg". It matches the Rfam family "tRNA". From Rfam's summary of the family: Transfer RNA (tRNA) molecules are approximately 80 nucleotides in length. Their secondary structure includes four short double-helical elements and three loops (D, anti-codon, and T loops). The record is from RNAcentral. Lineage: Archaea; Methanobacteriati; Methanobacteriota; Methanomicrobia; Methanosarcinales; Candidatus Methanoperedentaceae.
GGGCUCGUGGCUUAGCUUGGAUAUAGCGCCGGGCUUCUAACCCGGAUGUCGAGGGUUCAAUUCCCUCCGGGCCCG